CAGCGAUAAGGGGACCUCGAGUGCCAGGAUACAAUCUUGGCUGUCGCGAUGCCUAAAAAGCAUUGCAUAGCAAGGGCCGGGCAAGACCGGUGCCAGCCGCCGCGGUAACACCGGCGGCUCGAGUGGUAACCGCUAUUAUUGGGUCUAAAGGGUCUGUAGCCGGCCGGAUAAGUCUCUUGGGAAAUCCAGCUGCUCAACAGUUGGGCUUUCAGGAGAUACUGUUUCGGCUCGAGGCCGGGAGAGGUGAGAGGUACUUCAGGGGUAGGGGUGAAAUCUUGUAAUCCUUGAAGGACCACCAGUGGCGAAGGCGUCUCACCAGAACGGACCUGACGGCAAGGGACGAAAGCUAGGGGCACGAACCGGAUUAGAUACCCGGGUAGUCCUAGCCGUAAACGAUACUCGCUAGGUGUCGGCCACGGUGCGACCGUGGUCGGUGCCGUAGGGAAGCCGUGAAGCGAGCCACCUGGGAAGUACGGCCGCAAGGCUGAAACUUAAAGGAAUUGGCGGGGGAGCAC
This 515-nucleotide ribosomal RNA is filed under the name uncultured archaeon GA04. RNAcentral describes it as "bacterial SSU rRNA". It matches the Rfam family "Archaeal small subunit ribosomal RNA", at positions 365 to 879 of the family's 1478-position model. The record is from RNAcentral.